GCCGAGGUAACGCUGAUGACACCGCAGGAAGUAGGACAGACCGUUCGGUUCGGCCUGUGUGGUUGUCGAAGGAUGCAGCCCAGCGACUUUGAGACGCGUCCUCAUCUUAUGGUCCACCCCCGUCUGUCCAUUGGGUGUUAUUCCUGAUGACGCGCUGGUUUCUAGCCAAUCAGGUCGGCGAAUGGCGCCCGGGGUCUCCUGCGGGAACAGACGGAGACUCGAAUCUACAAGCGGGUGUCGCUGGGCUCGAGUGUUCAGUUGGAAGAAGGUUGCUGCUGGUCGCGUCUGCCGCUGCAAACCUCGCUCACGUUACGCGACUGAACGCGACUAAAGCCGUUAGCCGGCUCAGGCUACUUGCUAACACAAGGGGAUGACAUGCUAAUCCAACUGUCCUGAAAAACACCGGAACGGUCUGGGUCCCUUUUGGCUGGACAUGUCUCACAGACUGACCAAGGAGGAGCUGGACGAAGAGUUUGACCUGUUCCUGAAGGAGUCCGUUUCAGAUGACUCGGACAAGCAGCCCGGCCCUAAAAGCAAACCCUGGUGGCAGGAUGAGCAGCACAGCGGGGGAGCAUCAGGGGGAAAAGAGGUGUGAUGCCGCGCUGGAAUGAACAUCUGGUGGCUUGUUUGUUGUGUCCAGACCGGACCGUCUGCCUAAUAUCAGCCCAGGUUGUUUUAAGCCGACCCAAUCAAACAUCACUCACAGCCCCGAUGAAGCACAUGUGCCGUCGCUUCUGGAAUGUUUGAUGUUAUGAAGGAAUAAAACUGGAAAGAUUCCUCACUUUUCUGUGGAUGUCCAUGGGUGACCCAGAAAGCUGAAUCCUCCUGCUCGAGGAGCUCUGCCGGUGGUGCCUGCAUGUACCAGAAUGUACCAGAAUGCAUUGCGCACACAUUUUUGGCCAUCAUGCUCUGUACUGCAUCCUGGAUUCGCCUGGAAUCACUGCGGCUACGGAGUAUCCGCGUCCGCCAAAGCAUCCCGGUCCCUAACAUCUUAUUCACUCGUGUUCUGUGCACUAGGGCUGUCAACCCAGAGGGUCCAGGAUGGUUCUGAGCAUCCCCCUUCAUCACAAGGGAGCCCUCGAUCAAUGCAAUCUCAGUCACUACAGCACGUACCGUUCACUUUACCUUCUACACCGAUUGGACAUGCAUAUUAAGGGGCCCAUUUCUCUUUUUCAAAUCCAAAUGACAACGCUGCUGUUGCACCAGCUCUUUGUAUGUUCAACUGUGAAGAAGAGUUGGAUGUAACUGAGGAUACAAAGUUCUUCUGUAUUUACAGGACGGAGCGGUGCCAAAGAUGGUAACUAUUAUUAGGAUAUGCAGUCACGUAGGAUGGGAAUAACUUAUUACAGAAGCUGUUUGGUGAAUUAAUGGAUUUGCAUUUUUUUCGUAUUGAUAUUUAAUUCAAUACGAUAUUGAUAAUUCAAUAUGAUAUUGAUAUUUGGGUUUUGGAGUAUUGGUCAAACAAAAAGGGCUCCCCGGCUCAGAUUGAGGUUCCCAAUAGAAACCAAAGUGUAUUUUUGGACCAUCCUACUCAUCAAGUUGGAAUUCCUCUUUCUGUCUAACUUUCCACUUGUGAAGCAUCUCUCCUCAACACCCAAUCCAACACUUUCUUUCUCCUGCUUCAGGACUCGGGUCCCUGAACUGACCAGUAAAAUGCACAAUGCAAAUGGUCAUUUGACUAGUCGAUUCUCCAGGGGCCUCAUUUAUAAAAGCUUGCGUAGGAUUUGCACCAGAAGUGUCGUACGGAUGAAACGUAGGACGUGCGUACGCACAGAAAUAUUCAGACUUAUAAAACGUCCUACGCAGUUUUCCCUUAAUAAAUCACAAUCACUUCUAAAUGCAGCGCAGCUUUUGCGGCUUCAUGUCGCGCCCACAGUUGCCCAUAUAUAGUCUGUGGAACGCCCACAAAUUAAUAUUCAUCGAUUGCGAAAUGAUGACAAACACUGAGAGGAAAAUGAAGAAACGUAACUUCACUCAGUGUGAAGUGGAAAUGAUCAUUGGGAGGUGGGAAGGAGGAGUAAGAUGCUAUUUGGAGGACACAGUGUGGAUCACUGAUGCCAACAAGG
Molecule: long non-coding RNA, 2066 nt
Organism: Gasterosteus aculeatus aculeatus (three-spined stickleback)
Lineage: Eukaryota; Metazoa; Chordata; Actinopteri; Perciformes; Gasterosteidae
Source: Ensembl